CCAAACAUCAGAAUUACAAUCCGAGUCCCUCACAGAACGAUUAAAACGCAUGAACGCCCCUCCACGUGCGAUCCCAAGCGAAACGGUACAUAAAAUAUCGCGAUUUUUAUGAAAAUACCGUUUUGCCACUAUCGACCUUUCCUCGAUCAACGCGCGAUCUCCGCAGAUCCGUCCGUCAGAUUCGCGAACGGUUCGCACCAGUGCGAUCAGCACGACGGAGACAACAAAGCUACGAUUUCGUUUCAUCUCGAUCGACCACGGAUUCAUGACAAAAUCCAACCUUCUUCCAAUAGAAGGAAACACACACAUAAAUACAUAUAAAACAUGUAUU
This 331-nucleotide long non-coding RNA is filed under the name Ananas comosus (pineapple). RNAcentral describes it as "long non-coding RNA (ACOM_LNC041893)". Lineage: Eukaryota; Viridiplantae; Streptophyta; Magnoliopsida; Poales; Bromeliaceae. The record is from RNAcentral.